This 484-nucleotide ribosomal RNA is filed under the name uncultured bacterium. RNAcentral's name for it is "partial 16S ribosomal RNA". It matches the Rfam family "Bacterial small subunit ribosomal RNA", at positions 28 to 523 of the family's 1533-position model. The record is from RNAcentral.
GACGAACGCUGGCGGCGUGCUUAACACAUGCAAGUCGAACGAUGAACCCGGAGCUUGCUCCGGCGGAUUAGUGGCGAACGGGUGAGUAACACGUGAGUAACCCGCCCUUGACUCUGGGAUAACUGCGGGAAACUGUAGCUAAUACCGGAUACGACCCUCGGCGGCAUCGCCAGGGGGUGGAAAGAAUUUCGGUCAAGGAUGGACUCGCGGCCUAACAGCUAGUUGGUGAGGUAACGGCUCACCAAGGCGACGACGGGUAGCCGGCCUGAGAGGGUGACCGGCCACACCGGGACUGAGACACGGCCCAGACUCCUACGGGAGGCAGCAGUGGGGAAUAUUGCACAAUGGGCGCAAGCCUGAUGCAGCAACGCCGCGUGAGGGAUGACGGCCUUCGGGUUGUAAACCUCUUUUAGUAGGGAAGAAGCGAAAGUGACGGUACCUGCAGAAAAAGCACCGGCUAACUACGUGCCAGCCGCCGCCGUAA